Molecule: unclassified non-coding RNA, 231 nt
Filed under: fungal sp.
Lineage: Eukaryota; Fungi
Description: partial internal transcribed spacer region
Rfam family: Eukaryotic small subunit ribosomal RNA (bases 1-46)
Source: RNAcentral
AAGUCGUAACAAGGUUUCCGUAGGUGAACCUGCGGAAGGAUCAUUACUGAAAUAGAAGACCCACUUGUUGGGCUUCAACCUUUCAUAUUCAAACACACUGUGCACUGUCUAGAUGAACGUCACUGCCCUCUGGGGUGUGGCUACUAGUCUUACCUUUCUUCAAAACACAAGUCAAUGCAUGUACAAAUACAUAUAAUAAUAAAACUUUCAACAACGGAUCUCUUGGCUCCC